GACGUAGGGGGCCAGCGUUGUUCGGAAUUACUGGGUGUAAAGGGUUCGUAGGCGGUGCGGCAAGUCGGGAGUGAAAUCUCUGGGCUUAACCCAGAGGCUGCUUCCGAAACUGCUGUGCUUGAGUGUGGGAGAGGCGCGUGGAAUUGCAGGUGUAGCGGUGAAAUGCGUAGAUAUCGGGAGGAACACCUGUGGCGAAAGCGGCGCACUGGACCACAACUGACGCUGAGGCGCGAAAGCUAGGGGAGCAAACAGG
Molecule: ribosomal RNA, 253 nt
Filed under: uncultured bacterium
Lineage: Bacteria
Description: partial 16S ribosomal RNA
Rfam family: Bacterial small subunit ribosomal RNA
Source: RNAcentral